GAUGAACGCUGGCGGCGUGCCUAAUACAUGCAAGUCGAGCGAACGGACGAGAAGCUUGCUUCUCUGAUGUUAGCGGCGGACGGGUGAGUAACACGUGGAUAACCUACCUAUAAGACUGGGAUAACUUCGGGAAACCGGAGCUAAUACCGGAUAAUAUUUUGAACCGCAUGGUUCAAAGGUGAAAGACGGUCUUGCUGUCACUUAUAGAUGGAUCCGCGCUGCAUUAGCUAGUUGGUAAGGUAACGGCUUACCAAGGCAACGAUGCAUAGCCGACCUGAGAGGGUGAUCGGCCACACUGGAACUGAGACACGGUCCAGACUCCUACGGGAGGCAGCAGUAGGGAAUCUUCCGCAAUGGGCGAAAGCCUGACGGAGCAACGCUGCGUGAGUGAUGAAGGUCUUCGGAUCGUAAAACUCUGUUAUUAGGGAAGAACAUAUGUGUAAGUAACUGUGCACAUCUUGACGGUACCUAAUCAGAAAGCCACGGCUAACUACGUG
RNAcentral lists this ribosomal RNA (497 nucleotides) under uncultured bacterium. Its description in RNAcentral is "partial 16S ribosomal RNA". It matches the Rfam family "Bacterial small subunit ribosomal RNA", at positions 28 to 507 of the family's 1533-position model. The record is from RNAcentral.